GUCAGUGAGUCAGCUGAAGACGCCUCUUAAGUGUCCCAUGGCUCCUCCACUUGCCCUGUCUCACCUACAGGCCUGAGAACAGCUGUUCAGGAUGAUACUUGAGCUGCCGCCUAUCUGUCCAAACCAACCCAACGAACAGAAGCCCCGCGGGGAGGAAGAGACACUCCAAUUUACACUCCCGUCCCCUUUUUUUCCUCCAACCUCUGGAAUUAACUUUAAGGCAGUGAGAAAUAUGUAAAAGAUAAAAGAGCAAAAACUGGUUUAUGAUGCGCUGUCAGAAGACAUCACGUCAACACCAUUGUGACUGCGCUAUCACUGCUGGUUGAGGGACAUCUUUUCAAAGUUGGUAAGCAUUUCAGAGCCCCUCUCCGUCUGAAUUCUCCUUUGCACUGUAAUAUUGUCACAGACCUUAAAGGUAGGUUUCUUUAUUCUAAGCUUUUGAUGUG
Non-coding RNA from Pimephales promelas (fathead minnow), 446 nucleotides. The record is from RefSeq and is a predicted model, not a curated record. Lineage: Eukaryota; Metazoa; Chordata; Actinopteri; Cypriniformes; Leuciscidae.